This 2538-nucleotide long non-coding RNA is filed under the name Manihot esculenta (cassava). RNAcentral describes it as "long non-coding RNA (MESC_LNC012216)". The record is from RNAcentral. Lineage: Eukaryota; Viridiplantae; Streptophyta; Magnoliopsida; Malpighiales; Euphorbiaceae.
AUGAGCAAGAUUAAAUAGAUCUAAUUAAAGGCAUAAAUAAGAAUAAGUCCUUUUGCCAUUCAAGCAAGUGAUUCAUGAAGAGAUUCAGCACAAUAUUCAUGAGACUUUCUAUUUGAACAAUUUUUACUAAUUAUGCUGCAUUUACCUCCUUUUGUUCCAGUCUUUUAUCCAGUUCUUGUAGCUCCCUGUCCAGUUUUUCUUGAAGAGAAGAAUGUUCAAGCUCCUUUUCCUCAUCUUCAACCUCUUCUGCAAAUCAGUAAAAGAUAAAUGUGAAUGAGUUUAUAUACAGUCACCUAUGAUAAUUAAAAAAGAGAUAUUACUUGAUCACCAUUAUUGAAAAUGCAAACAAAAGAAUGUUCAGCAAUAAUAUCAAAAGCUUCCUUAGUACUUAUGUCACCUACUAAAAAUGAAAUUGAUUGAUUUUGAAGCACAUGCAACCACUGAUAUUAUUACAUGGAAUUGAAUCCGCAAUUCCCAUCGAAAAGCAAUAAUAUCAGCCAUUUACAUGAAUAAAUAAAACAGAAAAUUAUUCAACAAUAAAAUCAACUAAGAAGCUACAUUGUAUAUACCAAAACAGAAUUAAACUUCAAGAAAGUUACCUGAAAUGUCCAUAGUUUUUGAAAAGUUCCUGCACAACUCUGUUUUGAUAAAUAAUAAUAAUAAUAAUUUUAACUCAAACAUGUAAAAAAAAUUUACAAAUUAUUUCCUUUAAGCAGAACUUUCAAUAGUAAAUGAGGCUAAAUUAUAAGCUGCAUUCAAUCCAAUUGCGCAUACAAAAAAAACUGGCUUUUUCAUCUAGAAAGGAAUUGACACAUUGAUCUGUACAAAAGAUCUCACCCUAGGAUGCUACUUAUCAUGCUAAAUUAAAAAUAAACACCAAUAUUGAGGUGAAGUCCCAUUUGGCAUUUGCAAUACACCUUUAAUUUUCUCUGAAGCAAGGGAUGGGCCCAACAUUAGCAGACUUGUUGCGUAAUCAUGCUCCGAGUUAAAACCUCCUUAUUACAAAUACAUUGACUGCCUAUAAGCACCUUAACUGGAUAAAUUGGUUUACGCAGUUGUAGGAUGUUGUUAUUCAAUUGAACCGUCUUAAUGAUGCACCAGACCAAGUAAUAUGUAGAUUUUCUAAGAAAGUUUAUAUCACUAUCCUAAGAAUACGAGUGUAAGAUAUCAUCUCAAAUCAAUAAACAAUAAUAUAGUAUUUAUUGAGAAAUAUGCAUAAUAUAUGACUUAAAAAAUAGAUACUAUAUUGGGGAUGUCCGCAAAUAUUAUAGACAAAUACAAAUUAUUGAGGAUCCACCUGCUGAGAGUAAUCUGUCUUGGUAUAUACAAUGCACUUAUUCUUGAAUGUGCCUGAAAUAUUUGAUGGAGACCAAAACAAAUGAAUCAGUUUUGUUAAUGCAAAAUAAACAUCCAAAAGAAAAUUAUAACUACUGAAACACACCAACAAAAAGUGUCUUCCAUGGGUUGUCAAAAUCAUUUUAAUUAAAAUUAUAAACAUCUGUGGGGAAGGCAAAGGCAUGUAAUGUUGGAAAUGUCCAUAUUAGCAUGUUGUAGGACAUUCUGAUUUUGACAUCUUAUAAUAAACACAUAAAUUGGAAAAACUUGAGAAUUUGUAUAAUACAUUAUACUUGUAAUGAAAAAGGCAUUUGCUUUGGCUUCGCAUCUCAUGCCAAUAUUCACUGUAUCCACACAUGUUGUUUCUUAAAUUAUUAUUAUUAUUAUUUUUUGUUUCAAAUGAUUAACCAUGAUCAACAAUUAAAGCUCACAAUAAUUUUUAAAUAUAUAUAUAUAUAUUCUCAAUCAACAGAAUUAAAAUUAAAUUUUAUUUAAAUCAGUUCAUUUUUUUUAUAUAAGAACAAAUUCAAUUAUUUCUUUGCCUAAAACAACUUAGUUUUUAUAAAGUGCUAAUGGGGCAGCAAGGGAGUUAUUUGGUUGCCUUUAAGCUAAUCCUCGACAUAACUUGUUUUUGGAUGGUUUAAUUCUUGACUGAAAAACAGCUAUAUAUGUGUCUAGGAUAACAUGCUAAAAAGCUGCUUAAAUAACACUAUAGUAAAUUUCGAAAAAAAAAAAGAGAGAAAUUAAAUGCACCUUAAAUGCUAACACAAGGGAGCAAGGUAAUCAAAUGCAGCAGAUGACAAACAGGGAACAAGGUAAUCAAAAUUCCUAAUUUCACACAAUUCUUGGAAUCACACUCUUUCAACACAUUUAUAUAAAAAAAAAAUCAAAUAUAACUUCUAAAUUUAAGAAAUAGAAAAAAAAAUCAAAGGAAUCAAAGUGAUAAAGAGCAAGGAUUCACUUACAGAGUUAAGGAGAGAGAAGCAAUAGAAAUCCAAGAGAGCGAGCGAGAGAGACCAAGCGAGAGCGAGAGAGACCAAGCGAGAGCGAGAGAGACCGAGCGAGAGAGACCGAGCGAGAGAGACCGAGCGAGAGAGACCGAGCGAGAGAGACCGAGCGAGAGAGAGAGAGCAGGGAGGAGAGGAGAUGGGGGAGUGGGUGAGGGAUGCAACGUGAUUUUAGAAUUAGGGUUUCAAUAUAAAA